This 524-nucleotide ribosomal RNA is filed under the name uncultured Hanseniaspora. Its description in RNAcentral is "eukaryotic LSU rRNA". It matches the Rfam family "Eukaryotic large subunit ribosomal RNA", at positions 62 to 585 of the family's 3401-position model. The record is from RNAcentral. Lineage: Eukaryota; Fungi; Ascomycota; Saccharomycetes; Saccharomycodales; Saccharomycodaceae.
AAACCAACUGGGAUUACCUUAGUAACGACGAGUGAAGCGGUAAAAGCUCAAAUUUGAAAUCUGGUACUUUCAGUGCCCGAGUUGUAAUUUGUAGAAUUUGUCUUUGAUUAGGUCCUUGUCUAUGUUCCUUGGAACAGGACGUCAUAGAGGGUGAGAAUCCCGUUUGGCGAGGAUACCUUUUCUCUGUAAGACUUUUUCGAAGAGUCGAGUUGUUUGGGAAUGCAGCUCAAAGUGGGUGGUAAAUUCCAUCUAAAGCUAAAUAUUGGCGAGAGACCGAUAGCGAACAAGUACAGUGAUGGAAAGAUGAAAAGAACUUUGAAAAGAGAGUGAAAAAGUACGUGAAAUUGUUGAAAGGGAAGGGCAUUUGAUCAGACAUGGUGUUUUUGCAUGCACUCGCCUCUCGUGGGCUUGGGCCUCUCAAAAAUUUCACUGGGCCAACAUCAAUUCUGGCAGCAGGUAUAAAUCAUUAAGAAUGUAGCUACUUCGGUAGUGUUAUAGCUUUUUGGAAUACUGUUAGCCGGGUA